Molecule: ribosomal RNA, 1351 nt
Filed under: metagenome
Description: SSU rRNA
Rfam family: Eukaryotic small subunit ribosomal RNA
Source: RNAcentral
UGCAUGAGAAACGGCUACCACAUCUAAGGAAGGCAGCAGGCGCGUAAAUUACCCAAUCCUGACUCAGGGAGGUAGUGACAAGAAAUAGCAAACCGGGAACCUCAUGGUUUCACGGUAUUGCAAUGAGAACAAUUUAAAACCCUUAGCGAGAAUCAAGUGGAGGACAAGUCUGGUGCCAGCACCCGCGGUAAUUCCAGCUCCACUAGCGUAUAUUAAAGUUGUUGCAGUUAAAAAGCUCGUAGUUGAACCUCUGUCUGGGGCUAGUUUUGGCUUUGGUCAGGCUAGUUCUAGGCAUCCGCCUACAAGACUUAGAGGGCAUUCAGUUGUUCACUAGGAGGAGUAGGCAUUUUACUUUGAAAAAAUUAGAGUGUUUAAGGCAGGCAAUCGCCCGCAUAUAUUAGCAUGGAAUAAUAGAAUAGGACACUUUUCCAUUUCGUUGGUUAUUGGAAUCGUGUAAUGAUUAAUAGGGACAGUUGUGGGCAUUUGUAUUUAAUUGUCAGAGGUGAAAUUCUUGGAUUUAUUAAAGACAAACUAACGCGAAAGCAUUUGCCAAGGAUGUUUUCAUUAAUCAAGAACGAAAGUUAGGGGAUCAAAGACGAUCAGAUACCGUCCUAGUCUUAACUAUAAACUAUUCCGACUCAAUGUUUGACUAGCUUAUAUAACCAGUUGAGCGUUGUAUGAGAAAUCAAAGUCUUUAGGUUCUGGGGGGAGUAUGGUUGCAAGGCUGAAACUUAAAGGAAUUGACGGAAGAGCACAACCAGGAGUGGAUUCUGCGGCUUAAUUUGACUCAACACGGGGAAACUUACCAGGUUAAAACAAUAGUGGGAUUGACAGUUUGAGAGCGCUUUCUUGAUUGGUUGGGUGGUGGCGCAUGGCCGUUCUUAGUUGGUGGAGUGAUUUGUCUGCUUAAUUGCGUUAACGAACGAGACCUUAACCUGCUUACUAGACUGGCGAUCAUCAAUCGUUAGCUCUUCUUAGAGGGACUUUGGUUGUUUUAACUCCAAGGAAGUUUGAGGCAAUAACAGGUCUGUGAUGCCCUUAGAUAUCCUGGGCCGCACGCGUCAUACAAUGACUAGUUCAGAAAGUUUUCUCCUGACCCGAAAGGGGAUGGGUAAUCUUGAUAAUACUAGUCGUGUUAGGGAUCGAUCUUUGCAAUUAUAGAUCUUGAACGAGGAAUUCCUAGUAAGUGCGGUUCAUCAGACCGUACUGAUUACGUCCCUGCUCUUUGUACACACCGCCCGUCGCUUCUACCGAGUGGGUGGUCCGGUGAGAUAAUUGAACUUCGCAGGUAACUGAGAGGAAAGAUUAUCAAACCUAUCCACCUCGAGGAAGAAGAAGUCGUAACAAGGUU